This 351-nucleotide ribosomal RNA is filed under the name uncultured Anaerolineaceae bacterium. RNAcentral describes it as "bacterial SSU rRNA". It matches the Rfam family "Bacterial small subunit ribosomal RNA", at positions 1017 to 1382 of the family's 1533-position model. Lineage: Bacteria; Bacillati; Chloroflexota; Anaerolineae; Anaerolineales; Anaerolineaceae. The record is from RNAcentral.
CCUUCGGGAGCUUGUACAGGUGCUGCAUGGCUGUCGUCAGCUCGUGUCGUGAGAUGUUCGGUUAAGUCCGCUAACGAGCGCAACCCUCGCUGUGUGUUACAAGUGUCACACGGAACUGCCGGUCAUAAACCGGAGGAAGGUGGGGAUGACGUCAAGUCAGCAUGGCCUUUAUAUCCUGGGCUACACACACGCUACAAUGGGAAGGGACAAUAGGUUGCGAAGCCGCGAGGUGGAGCCAAUCCAGUAAAACUUCCCUCAGUUCAGAUUGCAGGCUGCAACUCGCCUGCAUGAAGUUGGAGUUGCUAGUAAACGCAGGUCAGCCAUACUGCGUUGAAUACGUUCCCGGGGCUU